ACGGAACUUCUUUAAUUGACUUCUUCGGAAUGAUUUUGAUUAAGUUUAGUGGCGGACGGGUGAGUAACGCGUGAGUAACCUGCCUCUGAGAGGGGAAUAACAUUCUGAAAAGAAUGCUAAUACCGCAUAACAUAUAUUUAUCGCAUGGUAGAUAUAUCAAAGAUUUAUCGCUUAGAGAUGGACUCGCGUCCGAUUAGUUAGUUGGUGAGGUAACGGCUCACCAAGACCGCGAUCGGUAGCCGGACUGAGAGGUUGAACGGCCACAUUGGGACUGAGACACGGCCCAGACUCCUACGGGAGGCAGCAGUGGGGGAUAUUGCGCAAUGGGGGAAACCCUGACGCAGCAACGCCGCGUGAAGGAUGAAGGUCUUCGGAUUGUAAACUUCUUUUAUUAAGGACGAAGAAAGUGACGGUACUUAAUGAGUAAGCUCCGGCUAACUACGUGCCAGCAGCCGCGGUAAUACGUAGGGAGCAAGCGUUGUCCGGAUUUACUGGGUGUAAAGGGUGCGUAGGCGGCUUUGCAAGUCAGAUGUGAAAUCUAUGGGCUCAACCCAUAGCCUGCAUUUGAAACUGCAGAGCUUGAGUGAAGUAGAGGCAGGCGGAAUUCCCCGUGUAGCGGUGAAAUGCGUAGAGAUGGGGAGGAACACCAGUGGCGAAGGCGGCCUGCUGGGCUUUAACUGACGCUGAGGCACGAAAGCGUGGGUAGCAAACAGGAUUAGAUACCCUGG
This 728-nucleotide ribosomal RNA is filed under the name uncultured bacterium. Its description in RNAcentral is "bacterial SSU rRNA". It matches the Rfam family "Bacterial small subunit ribosomal RNA", at positions 66 to 790 of the family's 1533-position model. The record is from RNAcentral.